GUAUAAUGGCGGGGUUUUGGUGCCCGCUUCCUGUUCAUGGACGCGGUUAAACGGGAAAAAUGGCGCCGCGCUUUGCCGCGUGGCCAACAUUUGCUGCCCCCGCAACGGUAAGCAAGCGCCGUCCGCAUUGGACGGCAGGAUGGACCGACAACCACUGCGCUGGCGCAGGAAGGUGGUCCAGCCCCCGCUUGCCAGCCCGGAUACCGGCCAAGACAGGUGGAUUGCG
RNAcentral lists this non-coding RNA (226 nucleotides) under Massilia sp. NR 4-1. Lineage: Bacteria; Pseudomonadati; Pseudomonadota; Betaproteobacteria; Burkholderiales; Oxalobacteraceae. The record is from RNAcentral. RNAcentral also lists the same sequence under 1 other name.